Molecule: ribosomal RNA, 410 nt
Filed under: uncultured bacterium
Lineage: Bacteria
Description: bacterial SSU rRNA
Rfam family: Bacterial small subunit ribosomal RNA
Source: RNAcentral
AAUGGACGAAAGUCUGACGGAGCGACGCCGCGUGGAUGAAGAAGGCCGGAAGGUUGUAAAAUCCUUUUGCUGAUGAAGAAUAAGUGUGGUAGGGAAUGACCGCAUGAUGACAUUAGUCGGUGAAUAAGCCCCGGCUAACUACGUGCCAGCAGCCGCGGUAACACGUAGGGGGCAAGCGUUGUUCGGAAUUAUUGGGCGUAAAGGGCAUGUAGGCGGUUUCGUAAGCCUGGUGUGAAAUCCUGCAGCUUAACUGCAGAAUUGCAUUGGGUACUGCGAGACUUGAAUCACAGAGGGGAAACUAGAAUUCCAGGUGUAGGGGUGGAAUCUGUAGAUAUCUGGAAGAAUACCGGUGGCGAAGGCGGGUUUCUAGCUGAUGAUUGACGCUGAGGUGCGAAAGUGCGGGGAGCAAA